GUCUGCAAAUCUAACUUAAUGUACGCGUAAAAUUUCACAUUUAUAAUACUGCCAUAUGUUGUUGUGUAUUUUAAUGAAUGUUGAUGCCAUCUACGACAAAAGAAGUGACAGCGAAAAAAAGAACAAAAUUGGCGACAGGAAAGGAAAAGAAGACUUCUACCCAAGGCGUGAUAUCUUUACAGGAAAGAAAAAGAUGACUUCUACCCAAGGCAUGAUACAUUUACAGGAAAGGAAAAGAAGACGUGUACUCAAGGCAAGAUAUAUUUACAGGAAAGGAAAAGAAAACUUCUACUCAAGGCAUGAUAUAUUUACAGGAAAGGAAAAGAAGACUCCAACUUAAGGCAUGAUCUACUACUACUGUAUAAAGACACAAAAAAAAAGACAGAGCUUAUUGUCUAUUUAAUCUGUAUGGUUUGAAUUAUAAUAUUUGCUGUAAAUGUUGAACAGUUGAAAUUAAAACCACAUUCUGCAAGAUUAUAAA
Long non-coding RNA from Mytilus californianus (California mussel), 481 nucleotides. RefSeq lists it as uncharacterized. NCBI's taxonomy places the organism in Eukaryota, Metazoa, Mollusca, Bivalvia, Mytilida, Mytilidae. The record is from RefSeq and is a predicted model, not a curated record. The transcript is spliced from 2 exons.